RNAcentral lists this ribosomal RNA (549 nucleotides) under uncultured Glomus. Its description in RNAcentral is "SSU rRNA". It matches the Rfam family "Eukaryotic small subunit ribosomal RNA", at positions 548 to 1098 of the family's 1831-position model. Lineage: Eukaryota; Fungi; Glomeromycota; Glomeromycetes; Glomerales; Glomeraceae. The record is from RNAcentral.
UUGGAGGGCAAGUCUGGUGCCAGCAGCCGCGGUAAUUCCAGCUCCAAUAGCGUAUAUUAAAGUUGUUGCAGUUAAAAAGCUCGUAGUUGAAUUUCGGGGUUAGUAGAUCGGUCGUGCCACUGGUAUGUACUGGUCUCACUGAUUCCUCCUUCCUGAUGAACCGUAAUGCCAUUAAUUUGGUGUUGCGGGGAGACUGGACUGUUACUUUGAAAAAAUUAGAGUGUUUAAAGCAGGCUAACGCUUGAAUACAUUAGCAUGGGAUAACGGAAUAGGACGUUCGAUCUUAUUUUGUUGGUUUCUAAGAUUGACGUAAUGAUUAAUAGGGAUAGUUGGGGGCAUUAGUAUUCAAUUGUCAGAGGUGAAAUUCUUGGAUUUAUUGAAGACUAACUACUGCGAAAGCAUUUGCCAAGGAUGUUUUCAUUAAUCAAGAACGAAAGUUGGGGGAUCGAAGACGAUCAGAUACCGUCGUAGUCUUAACCAUAAACUAUGCCGACUAGGGAUCGGAUGAUGUUAAUUUUUUAAUGACUCAUUCGGCACCUUACGGGAAAC